UACGAAGGGGCUAGCGUUGCUCGGAAUCACUGGGCGUAAAGGGUGCGUAGGCGGGUCUUUAAGUCAGGGUGAAAUCCUGGAGCUCAACUCCAGAACUGCCUUUGAUACUGAGGAUCUUGAGUUCGGAGAGGUGAGUGGAACUGCGAGUGUAGAGGUGAAAUUCGUAGAUAUUCGCAAGAACACCAGUGGCGAAGGCGGCUCACUGGCCCGAUACUGACGCUGAGGCACGAAAGCGUGGGGAGCAAACAGGG
Molecule: ribosomal RNA, 251 nt
Filed under: uncultured bacterium
Lineage: Bacteria
Description: partial 16S ribosomal RNA
Rfam family: Bacterial small subunit ribosomal RNA
Source: RNAcentral